This 265-nucleotide long non-coding RNA is filed under the name Homo sapiens (human). RNAcentral's name for it is "HSALNT0269119". The record is from RNAcentral. Lineage: Eukaryota; Metazoa; Chordata; Mammalia; Primates; Hominidae.
UCCUAAGAAAUAAUAUCAGCCAGCACCUGCUGCAAAGGGGCAUCCCAGGAUGUGUGACUGAAUCCUGUGGCAACACUGCGAGGUUGGCAUCAUUACCCCCACACCCUCCCCAACCGAGGAAAGAGCUGGAACCUGGGGAGAUGAAUGACUUGAUGUCCCACAGCCAACUGGCCUGCAGGCCCAGGGGUCACAAUGAUCUUGCUGAUAUGGACCCUGGUCAAAGCUGAAGCAAGGAUGGCUAGCCCAGGGCAGGGAUGUGUGCUGG